GACGAACGCUGGCGGCGUGCUUAACACAUGCAAGUCGAACGGAAAGGCCCUGCUUUUGUGGGGUGCUCGAGUGGCGAACGGGUAAGUAACACGUGAGUAACCUGCCCUUGACUUUGGGAUAACUUCAGGAAACUGGGGCUAAUACCGGAUAGGAGCUCCUGCUGCAUGGUGGGGGUAGGAAAGUUUCGGCGGUUGGGGAUGGACUCGCGGCUUAUCAGCUUGUUGGUGGGGUAGUGGCUUACCAAGGCGUUGACGGGUAGCCGGCCGGAGGGGGUGACCGGCCACAUUGGGACUGAGAUACGGCCCAGACCCCUACGGGAGGCAGCAGUGGGGAAUUUUGCACAAUGGGCGGAAGCCUGAUGCAGCAACGCCGCGUGCGGGAUGACGGGCUUCGGGUUGUAAACCGCUUUCGCCUGUGACGAAGCGUGAGUGACGGUAAUGGGUAAAGAAGCACCGGCUAACUACGUG
This 468-nucleotide ribosomal RNA is filed under the name uncultured bacterium. RNAcentral describes it as "partial 16S ribosomal RNA". It matches the Rfam family "Bacterial small subunit ribosomal RNA", at positions 28 to 507 of the family's 1533-position model. The record is from RNAcentral.